GGAGAGGUGGCCGAGCGGCUUAAGGCGGCACCCUGCUAAGGUGUUGGGGGCAUUGCCCCUCGUGGGUUCGAAUCCCACCCUCUCCGCCA
This 89-nucleotide transfer RNA is filed under the name Gemmatimonadota bacterium. Its description in RNAcentral is "Gemmatimonadetes bacterium tRNA-Ser". It matches the Rfam family "tRNA". Rfam says of the family: Transfer RNA (tRNA) molecules are approximately 80 nucleotides in length. The record is from RNAcentral. Lineage: Bacteria; Pseudomonadati; Gemmatimonadota. RNAcentral also lists the same sequence under 1 other name.